Molecule: ribosomal RNA, 497 nt
Filed under: uncultured bacterium
Lineage: Bacteria
Description: partial 16S ribosomal RNA
Rfam family: Bacterial small subunit ribosomal RNA
Source: RNAcentral
GAUGAACGCUGGCGGCGUGCCUAAUACAUGCAGGUCGAGCGAACGGACGAGAAGCUUGCUUCUCUGAUGUUAGCGGCGGACGGGUGAGUAACACGUGGAUAACCUACCUAUAAGACUGGGAUAACUUCGGGAAACCGGAGCUAAUACCGGAUGAUAUUUUGAACCGCAUGGUUCAAAAGUGAAAGACGGUCUUGCUGUCACUUAUAGAUGGAUCCGCGCUGCAUUAGCUAGUUGGUAAGGUAACGGCUUACCAAGGCAACGAUGCAUAGCCGACCUGAGAGGGGGAUCGGCCACACUGGAACUGAGACAGGGUCCAGGCUCCUACGAGAGGCAGCAGUAGGGAAUCUUCGGCAGUAGGCGAAAGCCUGGCGGAACAACGCCGCGUGUGUGAUGAAGGUCUUCGGAUCGUAAAGCUCUGUUAUUAGGGAAGAACAUAUGUGUAAGUAACUGUGCACAUCUUGACGGUACCUAAUCAGAAAGCCACGGCUAACUACGUG